GAUGAGAACGAUGUAUAUAUUUAUGGUCCAGAAACUCCAGUCUAUUAUCCAGAGAUCGUACGUUAUGUUAUGAAAGUUGAUAUGAGAAAAAAUAAAUUUCCCGAGAAAAAAGCCCAACAUUCAAAGGACAGUGGUGCAAUGUUUCCGAAGCUAGCAAUUAUCACUGAUAAUGUUAGCUAUCAGAAAUACGGUGAAAGUAAAUUAAUUGAACGUUCACAAAAAAUAAUCAACUGGA
Microplitis mediator is the source of this 235-nucleotide long non-coding RNA. RefSeq lists it as uncharacterized. The record is from RefSeq and is a predicted model, not a curated record. NCBI's taxonomy places the organism in Eukaryota, Metazoa, Arthropoda, Insecta, Hymenoptera, Braconidae. The transcript is spliced from 3 exons.